Gopherus flavomarginatus (Mexican gopher tortoise) is the source of this 72-nucleotide non-coding RNA. The record is from the annotation of a RefSeq genome assembly. NCBI's taxonomy places the organism in Eukaryota, Metazoa, Chordata, Testudines, Testudinidae.
GGGGGUGUAGCUCAGUGGUAGAGUGUUUGACUACAGGUCAGAAAGUCCUUGGUUCAAACCCAAGUGCCCCCU